This is a long non-coding RNA of Gadus chalcogrammus (walleye pollock), 1596 nucleotides long. RefSeq lists it as uncharacterized. The transcript has 3 exons. Lineage: Eukaryota; Metazoa; Chordata; Actinopteri; Gadiformes; Gadidae. The record is from RefSeq and is a predicted model, not a curated record.
CGGUAUUCGACUUGUGUGGACUUCCUGGAAACAUGGACCUACCGGGAUCCACAGAAGCUGUAGAGUGCGUCAGCCUCCAGGCCCAGGGUGUUGUCGUGGGUCAGGGGGUCCAGGCCGUGGCCGGAUGGCUCUUUGCCCCGCCGCGAGGUCCCGGGCUGGGCCGUGGUGGAGCGGAGAGGAGGCUGGGGCUGCCAGACUCCCACGUCGGUGCCGUUGCCGAAGGCCUGGAUGGCGUUCCCUGAACAACAUAAGAGAGAUCAAGAGUCCGGAUCAGUUCACCAUCAGGGGAGGUGUGUGUCACGCUGACGGUAAGAGCAGGGGGGGUGUUUGAAAGAUGUCUGGAGGAGCAGAGAGUUUGAGAUGAAAAGGUUUCAAAGUGGACAACGAAAAGCCUCAGAUGGACACAUGGAGACUCAGACGCCAGAGGAGAAUGGGCUUGACCUUUCCCGUCAUCUGUCGUUAAUGAACCUGAAUUCCCUAGCUUUAAGACCAUUGAAAAGUGUCUAAUCCAACCUUACUGACUGCCAAGGAUAAAGGAAUCCCUUGCUUUUUUUCCAACUGUGAUGGGACUCAUUUCUUUUCAAAAUUAAUUUGAUAAAUAUUAGGACCAGUCAUCUCUUUGGUGUGGCGAUGUGGCGGAGAGAUGGUGAAAUUGUGACCUUUUUUGCGAGGAUUAGGAGUGUAAAAAGGACCAUUUAUAAACAAAUGCAUUCCCCAGAAAACGUCUGCUCUCCGGCUUUGUUUGCCAGAUCGACAGAAUAUUCAGAUUUGAAAGCCAAGGUUUAAAGUAGAAAUACAUUUUAUGUUUGCACUCUGUGCCACUCUGGUCCCUCACUGUCCGUGCAUGAGCAUGUAGCAACAGUAAAUCGGUAGGUCCUACCAUAAAGCAGAAAUUGCUCAAUUAGUGAUUUGUGUGAUCAGGGAAGCAAAUGUAAUUCUUCCACUUGCUCCGGUCUACUGCAAAGACAUCAAAUACAUCACAUUAGCGACGGAUGGCUGAGGCUGAUCAAUAGUAAACAAACACAAGAAGCCAUUUUAUCAAGAGUAAAUGAUUACGGCAUAGCACUGUGUUUAAUCUAAAAGAGUGUACCAAUAAGGUACGUGCUUUAAGGACAGCAAUUUCUUUGUAUACACAAAUAUUGUGUAUGUUCUCUUCUCCAAUAUGUAUGGUUCAAUUUAGGUGUAAACCCUGAAAGUAGCAAUGAAUCGCAUACUGACCUAAUCAAAGUUAUUCUGUCCGGAAGACAUGUUUAGUAUUCAAGCUUAAUGCAACAAACAGCAGAAAUGUAACAGAGACGUAGGCGGACUCCGAACCUAUAGAAGUAAUCCUGGCCUGAAGACAACUGCAGUUGUCAUACUGAAUACGGUAAACAACAAUCACGUCUGUGAGUAAACCGUCUUGUCCCUUUACCCAGUUGUGAUUUUGUUGUGAGUCUUUUCACAGAGGAAUAGGCGUCUUUGUAGGAGGAAUGUUCUACGAAGAAGCCUCGGAAGUAUGGGUCUGCUGGUUCUAUAUACCAGGGCAACGGGUAGUUGACUCAACCAGUGAAGGCAAGUCUUCUACCAGUGCACCGCUAGUAGACUCAACUAGUGAAG